AGUGAACGCUGGCGGUAGGCCUAACACAUGCAAGUCGAACGGCAGCACAGGAGAGCUUGCUCUCUGGGUGGCGAGUGGCGGACGGGUGAGGAAUACAUCGGAAUCUGCUCUGUCGUGGGGGAUAACGUAGGGAAACUUACGCUAAUACCGCAUACGACCUACGGGUGAAAGCAGGGGAUCUUCGGACCUUGCGCGAUUGAAUGAGCCGAUGUCGGAUUAGCUAGUUGGCGGGGUAAAGGCCCACCAAGGCGACGAUCCGUAGCUGGUCUGAUAGGGUGUUCAGCCACACUGGAACUGAGACACGGUCCAGACUCCUACGGGAGGCAGCAGUGGGGAAUAUUGGACAAUGGGCGCAAGCCUGAUCCAGCCAUACCGCGUGGGUGAAGAAGGCCUUCGGGUUGUAAAGCCCUUUUGUUGGGAAAGAAAUCCAGCUGGCUAAUACCCGGUUGGGAUGACGGUACCCAAAGAAUAAGCACCGGCUAACUUCGUGCCAGCCGCCGCCGUAA
This 506-nucleotide ribosomal RNA is filed under the name uncultured bacterium. Its description in RNAcentral is "partial 16S ribosomal RNA". It matches the Rfam family "Bacterial small subunit ribosomal RNA", at positions 29 to 523 of the family's 1533-position model. The record is from RNAcentral.